GUGAACGGGUUUCUGCUGGUGGGUUCUGAGCUCUUGGCUUGUCCUUGGGAGACUUCAUUUCAUGCUGUCCUCUUCUGCAGUUCAUCUUCUUACUGAUGAGUCCAGGAGAACCACACAAAAUGAAUCAUACUCAGGUGAAUUUUUAGAAGAAAGGAUGUACCUGAUGAUGACUCCUUGCACUUCCAAGCUAUCUGAGGGGCCAAUGCAGGUCUCCCAUCCCAAGCUCUUCCAGUCCCUAGAAAGUCAGUGGGAUAGUGCACAUGGUCCACAAACUCUGGGAGACCUGGCAGCUGGGUGGUCCCAGCUCCAAGAGGAUCCCUGCUCCAUGUCCACCUUCUGCCAGGCUUGUGUCACCCAUCAAAGCUGAGAUGAAAAAGCUGUGAUUGGAUGUCUGUUGCUCAGACCCCCUCUUAGAUGAGUGAAAUCAGGCUGUGCAAGGAGGCUGGGGAAAUCAAACGAUGUCAGAUCAAAAGUGUCAUGUUUGCAUUGUAGGGAGGAAGGCAGGGAUAGUAAAACAAAGGCUGUUCCGAGGCCAUUUGCAAGUUCAUGGUGGUUGAUGUGGUUUAACCCAGCAGGCAGGUAAGCACCAUGCAGCUGUUUGCUCCCCCCCCACACUUGUCAGUUGAGGGAAAGAGUUUUGAAAAAAGAUUUAAAAAAAAAACAUGUUGACAUAAAGACAGUUUAAUAGGACAGAAGGAAAGGAAUUAUUACUACUAGUAGUAAUGAUAAAAUACAACACAAGUGAUGCAUGAUGCAAUUGUUCACCACCCACUGUCCAGGCAGCUCCCAAACACCUGCAGCCCAGCCAGCUCCCCCGGUUUUAUUGCUCAUCAUGAGGCCAUAAGGUAUGGGACAUACCCGUGGCCAGACUGUGUCAGCUGUGAUGGCUCUGUCCCCUCUCACCUCCUGGUGCACCCCCAGACCAGCUGCUGGCAGGGUGGUAACUCUGAGAGGCUGGGAAGUCCUCGGCUCUGUGCGAGCCCUGAUCCGCACCAACUAAAGCAUUGUGUGUCAUCAGCAUUCUCAUUUUAAACCCAAAAUACUGCACCAUACCAGCUACUAGGAGGAAAAUUAACUCUAUCCCAGCCAAAAUCAGGACAGUUGAGUGUUUGGGGCUUACUGCAUAUCAAAACCAUUGAUUGAAGUGGUGACAUCUCUCACUGGAGCGUGCAGUGCUCCCAGUCCAGACCAGAAUGCUGACAGCUUGCCUUUGCCUAUCUGAAACGUGCGUGGGCAAGCAAGAUAACCCCACCAGGACGUACUGUUCCUGUUGUUUCCUUUGUGAAUAUUUCACACCCACCUCUAAGUGCUGCCUGGCGCCAGUGUAUGCAAGGCUAUGUGCGGGAGGCCUAGGCUGGCACACGGCA
RNAcentral lists this long non-coding RNA (1367 nucleotides) under Anas platyrhynchos platyrhynchos (common mallard). RNAcentral describes it as "lncRNA (ENSAPLG00000017153.1)". The record is from RNAcentral. Lineage: Eukaryota; Metazoa; Chordata; Aves; Anseriformes; Anatidae.